AUUGAACGCUGGCGGCAUGCCUUACACAUGCAAGUCGAACGGUAACAGGUCUUCGGAUGCUGACGAGUGGCGAACGGGUGAGUAAUACAUCGGAACGUGCCUAGUAGUGGGGGAUAACUACUCGAAAGAGUGGCUAAUACCGCAUCAGAUCUACGGAUGAAAGCAGGGGAUCGCAAGACCUUGUGCUACUAGAGCGGCCGAUGGCAGAUUAGGUAGUUGGCGGGAUAAAAGCUUACCAAGCCGACGAGCUGUAGCUGGUCUGAGAGGACGAUCAGCCACACUGGGACUGGGACACGGCCCAGACUCCUACGGGAGGCAGCAGUGGGGAAUUUUGGACAAUGGGCGAAAGCCUGAUCCAGCAAUGCCGCGUGCAGGAUGAAGGCCUUCGGGUUGUAAACUGCUUUUGUACGGAACGAAAAGCCCUGGGUUAAUACCCUGGGGUCAUGACGGUACCGUAAGAAUAAGCACCGGCUAACUACGUGCCAGCCACCGCCGUAA
This 498-nucleotide ribosomal RNA is filed under the name uncultured bacterium. Its description in RNAcentral is "partial 16S ribosomal RNA". It matches the Rfam family "Bacterial small subunit ribosomal RNA", at positions 30 to 523 of the family's 1533-position model. The record is from RNAcentral.